CAUUAUUAUUGAAACGGAUUGAAAGAAGUGACCCAAACAUAGAGCCAAAGGCCAAAAAGGCCCGUAUGUGCCAGGUGAACAAAUAUAUGAGAGAGAAAAUCAAUUCUCUGCGCGCAGCAAAUAAGAAAGCUGCAAAACAACAACCUUAAUUCAUUUUCAAUACUUGUUUUCUUAUUUACGUUCAAACCUUUAUUUCAAAUUAAAAUUUUCAAGCGUCCAUCAGGGGGUCCACUGCCCCGAAUAAUUUUUUCCAAAUAAUUCGUUUUUCUUCCAUCAAUAUUUUUAUUCUUUAAUUUCCUCGUGUAGCCUCUUAGUUUCACCCUAAUUUCAUUUCCUUUGGGUCACUCACAGUUUCUGAAUAGCUCUCUUAUUUACUUUCGCUUUGCUGAAAUUGGUUUUUCAUUUCACAGUAUUAUUCAUGUACGUAUUUCAGAUUCUAUUUUAAUUUAGGUUGUUGAUAAAGUUUAAAUAUUGUUGAUUUCUACCUUUCCGAGGGUGAUUUGAUCUCGGAUUUUAAGUCACAUGAUAUUCAUCAUGUUUUAUGCAGACUGUGAAUAUAUUGAUGCUAGUAGUGAUGACAAACUACAUAAAUAGGUACCAAGAAAAUGCGUGCUAUUAUAAACCAGUGAUUGUUCUGUGGUAUAGAAUUUGAUUGAAUUUGAUUUCGGUAAGAAUGUUGAGGAAAUUUCAUUUGCUUACGUUCAAACCUUUAUUUCAAAUUAAAAUUUUCAAGCGUCCAUCAGGGGGGUCCACUGCCCCGAAUAAUGUUUUCCAAAUAAUUCGUUUUUCUUCCAUCAAUAUUUUUAUUCUUUAAUUUCCUCGUGUAGCCUCUUAGUUUCACCCUAAUUUCAUUUCCUUUGGGUCACUGAAUAGCUCUCUUAUUUACUUUCGCUUUGCUGAAAUUGGUUUGAUGGUUGGACUCAAUUAAUCGAUGGUUUUCACAGACUGCUUUAGCAUAUAAAAACCAGAAUCGACUCAUCAGUGGAGAUCGGUCUGGCAGCAAAAGGGAGAGUCAAAGGACCAGUGGAGGUCGGUCCCGCAGUAAAAGGGAGAGUCAAAAGACCAGUGGAGGUCGAUCCGGCAGUAAGAGGGGGAGUUCAAGGACCAGUCAAGGCAGCCAUAGUGAAUCCAUUGUCACACUUCGCAGCAGCUCCAGAAGUCGAUCCAAGAGCUCUCUUUAUACAAGUCGAUCUGAGAGCGGCUCUUCUCAUAGAAGUAGAUCUAAGUCGUCCUAUAGAAGUCAAUCAAAUUCUUCCACGAGGUCUAGAGGUUCCUCUAACAGCUCCUGCACUGAUUCCGUCAGCUGUUCCAGUCACUCUAAGAGCAGUCCUUCAAGGAGCCGUUCCCAAAGCUCGUUAAAGGAGCACUUCCAGAAAGAGAGCCGCUACAGAAAGAGUCCACUUGAGACCUGUGCUAAAAGGACCUCGAAGAGCUGCCACAGAAGUAAGAACUUGAAGAGCAAUUCUCCAAAUCCCCGAGAGAGCCACUUCAAACGUUCACAAAAAAGCGGCUCCAAAUCUCCCUUGAAGAGCCGCUCUAGAAGUCCACGGAACAAUGGCUCGAAACCUCACUCAAGGAGUCGCUCCAAAACUCGCUUGGAGAGCCGCUCUAGAAGUCCACGGAACAAUGGCUCAAAACCUCACUCAAGGAGUCGCUCCAAAACUCCCUUAAAAAGCCGCUCUAAAAGUCCACCGAACAGUGGCUCCAAACCUCACUCAAGGAGUCGCUCCAAAACUCCCUUGAAAAGACGUUCUGGAAGUCCACCAAACAAUGGCUCCAAACUUCCCUCGGAGAGCUGUUCCAGAAAUCAAGAAAAAAGCCAAUCACAAAGGUCCUCAAACACUCACUUGAAGAGCCGCUCCAAAGUCCCUCUAAGAGUCCAUCCGGAAGUCCCCUGA
RNAcentral lists this long non-coding RNA (1898 nucleotides) under Bemisia tabaci. Its description in RNAcentral is "lncRNA ENSSSA1NGG011882". Lineage: Eukaryota; Metazoa; Arthropoda; Insecta; Hemiptera; Aleyrodidae. The record is from RNAcentral.